CGACGGUUGUCAUGGGCCCGAUGAGAGUUCCGGGUCGUGACACAAUAUCUUAUGCACAGAAUUACUUUGCUGAUGGGUGUUAUGUGACAAGUACUUUUAGUACAUGAUCAUUCAUUUAUACAUGCAUAAACCCUCAUUUCAUGAUAAUAAGUGUUUUUGCCUAUAAAUAAAGAUAAUGAGUGCAUUUUUUUCAUCUUAUUC
Molecule: long non-coding RNA, 201 nt
Filed under: Theobroma cacao (cacao)
Lineage: Eukaryota; Viridiplantae; Streptophyta; Magnoliopsida; Malvales; Malvaceae
Description: long non-coding RNA (TCAC_LNC002266)
Source: RNAcentral